UGUUUGGAAGGCCGUUGGUGUAUAACAGAAACGAGAGGAUAUUAUCCAAACAUAUCAAGCUUCAGCUAUCAUGAAGACUUGGAGUUUAUAUGCGUUGGUCACCCCAUGCACAAUUUCCUAUCGAUGUCAAGCCAUCCUUAGAAGCAGGCAUCGAUACAUCAGAAAAAGGCUUCCUUUGCAUCAACCCUGGGACAAAUGAGCUGACUUUUGUCGUGAGCCACAACUUUAGGCUGACUCCACUCGAAGAGGGACUGUGUGACACAGAGACACAUCAAGUAAUUUUAGAAACAAUUUAUCUAGAAUUUCAUUUGCUAAACCACCCUUUGUGAAAAGAAUUAAGAGGGUUUUCAAACUACUGAGUGAUGAUCAGUUGUAAGCAACAUUGUAUAUGGAAACUGAUACUACACCAAUGAGUGAACGUUUGAUGGCAGUUUACAAAAAACUUCAAUAUAUUUUAUUUUAUUAUACACAUACAACUAUAGCAUUGCCUGCCAUUGGGAGCUGUCAAGUAAGACAAUUCAUAUUCCAUCCACAUUCUAUUAAAACCUUAGAUAAAGGAGUCUACUGUAUGAUAUUGUUUAUAGGGAGGGGUCUUGUGAGGCUCAUUCAUUACUGACAGCAAAACAGUUAAUUAGUGCCCUUGAUGUAGACAUUACAGCUAAGGUAUCAGAUAUUUUGAAAGCUAUUUAUUUAAUAUGAUGAUGAAGACUGGAAAACUAUAUAGAAUUAUUUAAAAAAAUAUUGUUAAAUAUUAUGGAUACCAUUACAUUAAAGAAACUGACUUUUAUGUAAAAUUUCAACCUGUGUUCCAAGAUUUAAAAUGCUUUAAUUUUUAGUGUCUGUUAAAUGUUGAACAAUGUCAUAUUUAUUCAGAAUAAAAUAAUUAGUCGGGAAUAUUAUCAAAUAUAAUCAUGUAUUGGAGAAACAAUUUAAGCCCACUAAUAAGGUUCAGGUAUAUUAUAAGGGGUGAAAAAAUAUCGGAAUAGAUAGGAAUAUUUCAUGGCACAUGUGAGUGAACAAGACAAUGUUAACAGCUAUUCAUGUUUUCACAACAUCACACAAGCGUACGCACGCGCACGCGCACGCGCACGCACACACACACACGCACACACACACACGCACACACACACACGCGCGCGCGCGCACACACACACACACCCACCAUCAAUAUUAUUUUCAUAAAAUGUUUAGAUGUAAAAUUCUCAAGGGUUUUUCAGAAGUAUUUUCCAUAUAUUGUGUUUCUACUGUUGCACACAUUUAAAAUAAAAUAAAAAUUAUUGCUCGCUAGUAGUAUCCAUGACUUUAUCCAUUUAAACUCCAGUUAUCGUUUAUAACUGCAUUCUACAAUAAUUGAGAGCUCUUCUAAUUGAGAAUCUAAAUCUUUAAACCUCGUUCAGAGACGCCAAUAUUCUUGAAAUUGCCUGGUGUUUAAUUGUUCUUCUUUUUUAAUCGGAGUUUCGUUGGAAUAACGAUCGUAAGCCCGGGUUGCCGUCGUGCUACCACUUAUGCGGUUUCUGAGCACGGAGGAGUCGGCUGUCGCAUGGUCGCCGAGAUGUUUAAUGCAACGUGGGCCCGCGUGGCAAUUACGCGACGAGUGCCCGUAAAGCUGACGUCGGUGGCACUGCCCGGGAGAGCCACGUUUAUAAGGGGGCUUCGACCAUUACCCCAGAUAGGCCGCAAAUGGUGCGGAGACUUGAGGCAAUCCGUUUGCCUUCCGCGGUGUAUGGAAUGGAAUGGCAUACACCAUAUUGUAUGGAAACUUGUCGCGACCGCUGUGCACCCGAUGCACACUUAUUAUCGGGUAUACUUGCCUGAUGAGGUCGUCCUUGACUAGCUCGGUAUCGAGCUCCUUGGUUACUCCGUGUAUUACUACGCGGAGUUCGCGUUCCUCCUGGAGCGCAUGUGUGAUAGCUUAGGCGCUCCUUUCGGAGGUGGGCUGUCCGCGCCCUUUGGUCGUCCUGUGUGGCCACCUUAAUUUGUGUUCUGUGCGCGAUGCUACGCGCAUGGACGAAGUUCACGUUUUGUGCCUUGUAAGGCACUGGAUACGCGAUCCCACGCGGUCCUAUCUUGUAGGAUGACCGGCGGCAGCGCGGCAAUUUUGCGGACGGGUGCGGGCUUGGGGGCGUGGCGAUGGGGUUGCGCGGCGGGGGUAGUCGGGCGUGACUACGAUCUCACUCCGCCCAAACAAUUAAAUUGAAUUGUUGCGGACGAUUCCACAGCGCGGGCGCGUUUCUUGCCGCGCGCGACGGUAGUGAACCCGUCCGAGGUUCUGGGUUGCGGACUCGCGGCGGACUCUUACUCCAUUUCAGACCCGGUGUCGGAGCCGGAGUUAGCGGCCUCUGAGGACGCGAUUGAUACUGCGGGCGCAGGGGUGGGGGGGAAAGCGGCGACUUGGGGAGUACCGACGGGACCUUCGCGGCGGUGGCGAAUCGGUGCGUGGGGGUUUGAACCUAGGCUGGCCUUGUAGGCCUCGAAACGGGACAUUAUGUCCGGGCAGAAUUCCCGGACACAUUUUGCGAACAGCGCGCUGUUCGCGUCACUCAUUUUGGUGCCUGGGGGGGCGUCCCCGGGACUUAAUGUAACUCGCCGAAAGGCGAGUCCCCUGAAUGGGGUUUGACCCCCCUGCGCUGUACUUGUCAGCAGUGAUUAGCAGAGGGGGGGGGGUGCCUAUGCCGUGAAAACGACAAUCAGCUGGGAUUGGGGUGGAAUAUGGAAAGGUAGGGCCCCGCUAGGUUGUGAGAAUGCCACAACAAGCGGUGAUCGCAGUGGGGUGUUAGUCUCGAAAGAGACUGUUUUUUAAAAAGAAUAAAUAAAUAAAAAUAAUAAUGACAAUGAAAUGGAUGAUAAAAUGAAAUGAAAUUGUCGUUUUCGAGAGCAGGAAGACUAACGAACUCGAAUUACGUUUUUCCGAUUCAAGGUCGCGACGCCAGCGACAGUGCGUCAGGAAUGCACAACAAUGUCGCGAUCGGUGCGACAACGACAAUGUUGGACAACACGAAACACACGUUCGCGACGGCAGCGA
Bombyx mori (domestic silkworm) is the source of this 3022-nucleotide long non-coding RNA. RefSeq lists it as uncharacterized. The record is from RefSeq and is a predicted model, not a curated record. NCBI's taxonomy places the organism in Eukaryota, Metazoa, Arthropoda, Insecta, Lepidoptera, Bombycidae. The transcript has 2 exons.